Molecule: long non-coding RNA, 976 nt
Organism: Hordeum vulgare subsp. vulgare (domesticated barley)
Lineage: Eukaryota; Viridiplantae; Streptophyta; Magnoliopsida; Poales; Poaceae
Exons: 2
Source: RefSeq, a predicted model, not a curated record
GCAAGCAAGCAAGAUUUGAUGGCUGUGAAGCAGAUACUUGGUCACCUCAGUGGCUGACAGAUUUCAUGGAGCAGCUAGAUUAUAGUGAUCGAGAUAAGUAUACUUUGUACUGGCUUCUCCCUAGAAAGGAUCUCGGAUCAGGACUCCGCAUUAUAGACCGAGAUGUUGACACAAUGCAUAUGAUUGCUAUUGUUCCUAAAUUUCAAUACUUUCAGAUUUUUGUGGACCACAAAGAUAUGAAUUUUGAUGAUGUUGUUGUAAUUGAUGAUGUCGUGAUUGGUGGCUCUCCUAGUUCGCCUCCUGUGUUGAGCCCAACUCGUGGCAAGUAUAAGGCUAUAUACCUGAUUGGUGGCUCUCCUAGUUCGCCUCCUGUGUGAUCUCACAUCUGUGCACUUGAUUUGUCCUUACAUGAUUACUAUAUCUCACAUUUCUUUGAUUUGUUUCAAAAAAAGAUAGUACACCAGAUGGCUACAAGUGCAACAGCUAGUAUUGUGGAAUCUGCAAUGAGUUACAGUGUCACGUCAUCUAGUGUGAUUCAUGUUCUACAGGAACAAGCAAUAGCGACACAACAAUCUCAAACUGCACCACCAGGUCCUCUACCCGAGAGUCAAUUCAUUGCCAGCUACAAGGAUGAGCUCCCACCUCCAAGACCACCUACCAAAACACUUGGUUUAAAGAAGAAAAAGAAGCAACAAGUGUCAAAGAAGAAAGAGAACCAAGUCCCAGAUGUUUAGUUGAAUGAAUGCUAGUUCAUAUUUUGGAGAUGUUUUAUCUGUAUAUUUUGGAUAACUUGCGUUCAUAUUUUGUCUUGGUUUGACAGAAACCUGAUGCUCAUGUGUAGCUCUGGUUUCAAUCAAACCGUCUAAGUGCAAACUUAUCUACAGUGCACUUGUGCUGGCAGUUGUUUAUUUUGGCUGAAACAAGACAAUAUAGUAAACUCGAUCUCGAUCUAUUAAGUUAUUAUCUUGUGUUGUAA